UGUUAACGUGAGGUGGGUGGAUAAGUGUUUUCUCCUCUAGUUAACAAUGAUUUUGACUGUUAAUGAUACAAGUUCACGACUUUACGAUUUCUUUAUAACUUUGGCUUACUGAAAAACUUUUGGUUUAGCGAGUGCAUACAAAUCGGCUUUUUUAUUAAAAGCUUUUAAUUUUAUCAGUGAGUGACAGUAUUCAGUAGUAACUAGUAUUAAUUAUUAAUAUAAUUACCAUUUUAGUGUACUAAUGUAAUAAAUACUGUUACUACUAUUAUUAUGUAGUCAAGCCGUGGCGUUGCUUAUACAUUGUUACAUUUUAUACUAAAUCAGUAAACUAAAUGCCUUUACCAUAAUAUUAAUAAUACUAAUAGACUUGCAGUUGCAGAUUACGAUUUAGAGACUUCCAAUUUCAUGUAGGUCAUAUUUGACAUAACCAUAACAUUUAACUGCUUAAAAAUAAUAUUAAAGUAAGAUAUUGUUGCUAGCUACAAUGUGGUAAAAUACUCAGUACCACUACCGGUAGGAGUAGUAGUAGUAUCGCGGUUGUUUCCGCUAACUUGUAAGUUGUAUAUGAAUAAUUCACAAAUGUAAAAUUAAAAAGAAAGGUGUUUGUGUAGAAAAAGUUCACUUUUUACUUGGCUAGUGUUUCUGUUUUUUCGUGUAGUUUAUUAUUGGCAUGAUGCUGUGUUUCCCAAGGAAGGGACGAGUGCGUUUGAUGUUGAUUUUCCUUUCCCUGAUUGCAAUGUGUUUGGUAGUACUUUAUCGUAAUUCAGAUGUACCAAAUCUGUCUGGUCAACAUGAUGAUCAUUCAAGCACAGUACCCGUCUAUCAUCGGAGUAAUGGUCGUACACACUACAGUGAUGAUCAGGAUAGAAGCUUGAUUAGUCAUAUGAAGUCCAAAUUCUCGCAGCAGCCAGUCGUUUCCAAAGUUUCUGGUAUGUGUACACCAGUAUCUCCACUAACAAAAGUGGACAUUAAUGUUACCCAGGUCUAUCCAACUUUAAACUUCUACCCAUCUCAACGGUCCUAUUGGAAUCAGACAUUUGAAAAUCGUUAUGUAAAGAGACGUAGAGAAUGGGCUAAUUUGCCCUUAAAGGUAAUUGUUUUGCCUCACACCCAUCCUGAUCCAGGCUGGCUGAAGACCUAUGAUGAAUAUUACAUCACUUCAGUUUCAUACAUCCUUAACAAUAUGGUUAAAAAACUAAAUGAGUACAAGGAUUUGACUUUUAUAUGGGCUGAAAUUUCCUACUUUUCAUACUGGUGGGACAGAUUGAAGAACCAACCACAAGUGCAAAAGACAGUGAAAGAUCUUAUAAAUAACGGUCAGUUGGAAAUUGUUACAGGAGGUUGGGUUAUGACAGAUGAAGCUGCUGCUCACUACCAUGCUAUGAUUGAUCAGCUUAUUGAAGGACAUCAGUGGUUACGAACUACUCUUGGGGUCGUGCCGUCGAAUGCAUGGUCAAUUGACCCAUUUGGUCAUUCAUCUACUAUUCCAUACUUGUUAAAAUCAGCUGGAAUGAAAAAUAUGUUCAUUCAGAGGACACAUUUUGCCUGGAAGCAGUACUUAGCAGAAAAGCAACAACUAGAAUUCUGGUGGAAGCAAAACUUUAAUUUGUUUUCUCAGAAUCAGUCUCACGAGGGAGAUAUUUUAUGUCACAUGUCACCUUUUGACUUGUACAGCAUUAAGCACAGCUGUGGUCCUCAUCAGAAAGUGUGUCUAAUGUUUGAUUUUCGAAGGAUUCCUGGAGAAAUAUCUGAAACCAUGGCAGAACAAAUAAAUAAACAAAAUGUCCAAAAGCAAGCAGAUCUUCUUGUAGGACAGUAUGGCCGCCUUGGUUCUCUGUUCCCCCACAAUGUUGCACUAGUGUUGGUUGGAGAUGACUUUCGCUACAAUCAUGAGGUAGAAUGGGAUCAACAAUACAAAAACUACAAAAAGCUGUUUAAUUUUAUCAAUGCUAACAAAGAUUAUAAUGUAGAUAUUAAGUUUGGUACUUUAGGAGACUAUUUUCAAGAAGUUCAUAAAAGAAUGAGAAACUUGAACAUUGAUAAACCACCAACUUUGUUAGGAGAUUUCUUCCCAUAUGGUGAUGUAUAUGCAGAUGGUAGACCAUCUUAUUGGACUGGCUAUUUUACCACUCGGCCAAUGUGGAAGAAAUUCUGUAGGGAUCUUCAAAGUUGGCUACGCAGUGCAGAGAUCUUGUAUAGUCUUGCAAAAGCAGUUGUUACUCAGCAAGGGAAUGCUCAGUUUCUUGAACUGAUGCAUCAAAAUUAUGAGCAUCUAACUGUUGCUCGUCAAGCACUUGGGCUUUUCCAACACCAUGAUGCUAUCACAGGCACCUCCAAGCAAAGAGUUAUGCAUGACUAUGGCCAGAAAUUAUUCAAAGGCUUUCAAGGUACGAAAGAUGUUAUUGCUACUAGUGCCAAAGUUCUACUUUUUCAAAAUAUGACCUAUAAACAAAGUGUAGAUGACAGACAGAUGUCAGAAACACCUAAGUUAAUUCCUGAUGACAAACGUUUAUAUUAUGACAGCUUACCAGAAAAAAAUGUUCUCCUUGUUUCCAGUUCUGAUGGACAAAAAAUUGUCCUUUUUAAUUCUUUUCCUUUUCAUAGACAGGAAGUGGCUCGUGUUUUAAUUAAGAACCCUCAUGUUCGAGUAGUAAACUCAUCAAACCAAGAAGUUCCCUCACAAGUUAACCCUAUUUGGAGUAGCUCAGCAGAAAUUACUGACAAAGUUUAUCAGUUAAAUUUCUUGGCAGACUUACUCCCUUUAUCAUUGUCUACAUUCACAAUUUUCAUCAGAGAAAAAAGCAUAGACAAAAAAUCAGAACCAUCUGUGUCUGUGUUUGUCAAUGAUGCUUUGGAUUCAUCUUUGAAGAACACUUUGUUUAACUUCCAAGUAAUCCAUAAUGAAAACAUAGCUCUUAACUCUCCAUACUUAUCUGCCACUUUUUCCAAGUAUACUGGACUACUUAAGUCUUUACAUCUCUUAUCUCAGGAUAUCACAAGUCAAAUUGAAACUAAGUUUCUUUAUUAUAACUCUGAAGAGUUUCGUAGUGGAGCAUAUUUAUUUCAACCAAAUCCAGUAAGCCCAAUCUUAAACAUAUCUGAUAGAUUCCCCAUUGUCCAUCUGAUUCAAGGUCAUCUUGUGUCUGAACUGACCACAACAUACCCAAACACUGCGACUACAACAUUUAGAGUAUAUCAUCUGGAUGGGCCUUUAGGGGCAGGACUGGAGAUUGAAACAAAAUUCGACCUUUAUAAACGGAAGCAUUAUAAUCUGGAAUUAUUCAUGAGACUAGAAAGUGAUCUUGCCAGUGAAGACAUUUUUUACACCGAUUCUAAUGGUUUCCAGAUGACUCAACGAAUCAGACUUGAUCACAUUCCUUUGGAGGCUAACUUUUAUCCUGUGAGCACUGCUGCUUAUAUUGAAGAUACACAAGCCCGUUUGACACUGCUCACAUCAAAUGCUCAUGGUUGUACAAGUUCUCAGAGUGGGAACUUGGAAGUAGUUCUUGACCGUCGACUGGCAUAUGAUGACAGUCGUGGGUUAGGAGAGGGAGUGCUAGACAAUAAACCAACUAAUGCUCAUUUUUGGUUGUUGCUAGAAGAACGUCAAAGGACCACCUCUGACAGAGAAAUCCCAAAUCUCAGUCAAUUGGGUCAUGCCUUGUCUUCUAUUUUGAAUUACCCUGCUAUAGUCAUGACAUUUGAAGGCAGUGAAAAAUAUUUCCAAAGAAAAUUUUUGACUUUUGUUCAAAAUCCUUUUCCAUGUGAUGUUCAUUUAGUCAACUUGCGGACAUUACCAACUGUGAUUAACUUUAAUAAGCCGUCCAGUAGCAGUCUACUAAUUCUUCAUCGUCAAGGACAUACAUGUCAUGUGAAAUCCCAUGUUCCUGGCUAUUGUACACAUUACCCUUCCAAAAUGAGAUUAAGUGAACUAAGUCAUGUUCAGGUGGAAUCUGUGUAUCAAACUUCUCUUACAGGAAUCCACGUGUUGCAGAAAAUCCUGCAACUGAAUGACAUACAAAUCCAACCAAUGGAAGUGCACACCUACAAUGUCACUUUUGUUUGAUGAUAGCGUAGAUGAGAAUGAUGCAUCAUCACAAUCAUCUAAUUUUUUGUAUAUUUUUUAAAGCAUCCCAGUAUUUGUUAGGUGUUUUUAAGUUUAUAUAACAACUUAUGAUAAAUCUUGGUCAUUACUGCUGCUUAAAUUAUUACAGAAGACUAAUUUAUUGUAGUCGUUGUUGCCGAGAUAAAUGUUUAUGCAUUGUUAGCCCCUUUUCUUGCCUUUAAUCUUGGAAAUUUUGUGAGGAAAGUAUUAACCAAAGGUACCUUUUUGUUCCUAUAAGGGCUUGAAGAUUAUAAGUGUUGAAUUUUUCUCUUUACGUUUGAAAGAGCUAUUUUAUUAUUUUGUUCACUAAAUUAAUUUUCCAUAUGGAUUUUGGUAGUUCAGAUUAGUAUAUUAAAAACUGAAUUUAUGUUUGGAAUGAUUUUGAAGUGCUCAUUUAUGGUGAAGGAUGUUGAAUUAUAUGUACAUGGGAUUGUGCAAGAGUAAUGGAUGCAUAUUUUUAUUUUACAGGUUUACUUUUUAAUCAGAUUCUCAAGAACUCUUGAUUGAUAAUAAAUAUUUAUUAAAUUCAGUGGAAAACUUGAAAUUGAUAGCAAUGAGCAGUAGAGCCGGAGAUAUUGGACGUCAUUAUGCUUCUGGAAGUGCAAAACGUAAAGGGAAGGAAGAAAAAGAAAGAAGAGACCAACUUGUGAUAUCAAAAACAUGUAAGUUGACAGAAUAUUUUGAUGUUCAUUGUGAUGGUGCUGUAACGGCUGAAGCUGGAAAUAUAGGAACAACUAGUACUAGUGCAGCAGAGGGCAUACAGCAACAGCCAGCAUCCAUUGAAUACAAAAGAACAAGUACUCUAAUGAUAUUGGUGAAUGGCCAAACAAUUUAAAUGAUUGUGAUCGUGAAUAUUGGAUAGCCAAGGGAAGUGAUGAAUGUCAACAUGCUAAUAGUAACUUCUCUUCAUCCAUGCGAUUGUAUGACAAUGAAAAGAAACCUCGGCACUAUCAGAAGUUUUAUUUCACACAUGUUCAUAAACCUACAAACAAGCAACAUGCAAGAAAUUGGUUAUGCUAUUCAGAAAGCAAAGGAAGCCUAUUCUGUUUACCAUGCAAGGUUAUGACUUCAGUAUGUUCACCGAAGUUUAUUGAAUAGGGGUUUAAUGACUAGAAAAAUGCAAGCAAUCUAUUACGUCGACAUGAAGAAAGUUCCUCACAUAGACAAGCUUUAAUUUCACUGUUGAUGCACAAAAACAAAGGUUUACGUGUCGAUUCCCAACUUGUGAAAGAAAUGGAGACUGAACAAAGGUAUUGGCGCACACUUCUAAAGCGAAUAAUUGAAAUUGUAAAGUUUUAACAGAACGAGGCCUUUCAUUUCGUGGUAGUCAUGAAACUGUUGGCUCUUCUCAUAAUGGAAAUUACUUGGGGUUGUUAGAAUUACUGGCCAAGUUUGACCCUUUUCUGGCAGAGCAUAUAAAUACUCAUGCAAACAAAGGAAGGGGACAUAAAAUCAUACUUAUCUAAAACAACAUGUGAGGAAUUUAUCAAUCUGAUUGGA
Molecule: unclassified non-coding RNA, 5605 nt
Filed under: Limulus polyphemus (Atlantic horseshoe crab)
Lineage: Eukaryota; Metazoa; Arthropoda; Merostomata; Xiphosura; Limulidae
Description: alpha-mannosidase 2-like, transcript variant X2
Source: RNAcentral